AGAGUUUGAUUCUGGCUCAGGAUGAACGCUGGCGGCGUGCCUAACACAUGCAAGUCGAGCGGACCAAUGCUCAUUUCAGCUUUGCUGAUUUGAGCAACGGUUAGCGGCGGACGGGUGAGUAACGCGUGGGCAACCUGCCCUGUGCAGGGGGAUAACACAGCGAAAGCUGUGCUAAUACCCCAUAAGACUACGCUAUCGCAUGAUAGAGUAGUCAAAGCUUUAGCGGCACAGGAUGGGCCCGCGUCUGAUUAGCUAGUUGGUGGGGUAACGGCCUACCAAGGCGACGAUCAGUAGCCGACCUGAGAGGGUGAUCGGCCACACUGGAACUGAGACACGGUCCAGACUCCUACGGGAGGCAGCAGUGGGGAAUAUUGCACAAUGGGGGAAACCCUGAUGCAGCAACGCCGCGUGAGCGAAAAGGCCUUCGGGUCGUAAAGCUCUGUCCUAAGGGAAGAAGUAUGACGGUACCUUAGGAGGAAGCCCCGGCUAACUACGUGCCAGCAGCCGCGGUAACACGUAGGGGGCGAGCGUUAUCCGGAAUCACUGGGCGUAAAGGGUGCGUAGGCGGCCGAGUAAGCCAGAGGUGAAAGGCUACGGCUUAACCGUAGUAAGCCUUUGGAACUACUUGGCUUGAGUGCAGGAGAGGAGAGUGGAAUUCCUAGUGUAGCGGUGAAAUGCGUAGAUAUUAGGAGGAACACCAGUGGCGAAGGCGACUCUCUGGACUGUAACUGACGCUGAGGCACGAAAGCGUGGGGAGCAAACAGGAUUAGA
RNAcentral lists this ribosomal RNA (771 nucleotides) under uncultured bacterium. RNAcentral's name for it is "bacterial SSU rRNA". It matches the Rfam family "Bacterial small subunit ribosomal RNA", at positions 8 to 782 of the family's 1533-position model. The record is from RNAcentral.